AACGGGGGGGGCAAGCGUUAUUCGGAAUUAUUGGGCGUAAAGGGCGCGUAGGCGGCUUUUCAAGUGACGGGUGAAAUCCCUCGGCUUAACCGAGGAACUGCCUGUCAGACUGGAAGGCUUGAGACCGGGAGAGGUGAGUGGAAUUCCCAGUGUAGCGGUGAAAUGCGUAGAUAUUGGGAGGAACACCAGUGGCGAAGGCGGCUCACUGGACCGGAACUGACGCUGAGGCGCGAAAGCGUGGGGAGCAAACAGG
This 253-nucleotide ribosomal RNA is filed under the name uncultured bacterium. Its description in RNAcentral is "partial 16S ribosomal RNA". It matches the Rfam family "Bacterial small subunit ribosomal RNA", at positions 524 to 776 of the family's 1533-position model. The record is from RNAcentral.